GUCAGGAUGGCCGAGCGGUCUAAGGCGCCAGACUCAAGUGUGAAAACUUGUUCUGCUCAUACAGAAUUUGUACGAUGAGCGUUCUGGUCCUCUCUGAGGGCGUGGGUUCAAAUCCCACUUCUGACA
Musca domestica (house fly) is the source of this 126-nucleotide non-coding RNA. Lineage: Eukaryota; Metazoa; Arthropoda; Insecta; Diptera; Muscidae. The record is from Rfam.